UUAAAACCUUCACAUUCACACUCUUAUGGCCGGCCAAGCAAGGGAACAAAGAGAAAAAGAGAAGAACAAACCCUAAGAAGGAAAAAUUGAAGAGCAAUUGUUGGAUUUCAAGGAAUCAAGCAAGUAAAGGUAAGAUUUUUUAAUUUUAGCUUGUGAUCUACCUUUCCCAUGCAUUCUUUUUCAUUUUUCAUGGCUGAAAUUCAAGUUUUCAAGAGGGAACCUUUGCUGGCCAAAUCUAGAGAGAGAAGUUUUGGUGAUGAAUUUUGCUAGAUUUCAUAAUAUCCUAGUGUUUUUAGUCAUUUUGUGAUAUUUGGAAGGAAAAACAAGCAAGAAAAUCACAUGUUCUUCAACCACCCUCAUUUGGCUGAAUUUUCUAUAGGGCAUGUUGAUGAUGGAUUUGGUUGUAAUUCAUGUUAUUUAGCUAGGAAUUGAUGAAUUAUGAUGUUGGAUAUCGAAACCGGUUAUUGAAAAGUAUAGUUCCUUUAGAAAAUGGCUUGAGGGAAACUGAGAAAAUCAUAGUAAAUGGACUUGGGUUUGAUUCCUAAUGAUAUAUAUGGAUUUACGAGACUGUGUAGACAUUGAUUAGUAUGUUAGUUCAGAAUCAGAAUGAAUUUUGGAACAUGGUGAAGUUAGUCAAAAAUCAAGUUCAUUGUAAUGCUUUGGUGUAUUAGAUUAUUAGAAGUGUAAUGAAUAUAUUUAGAGUUGAAUCGGGUGUUUUAGUUAAAUUAAUGGUGUAUAGUUUGAAUUAGGUCGAAUACAAAUUCCUUCCGAUCACAAUUGAACCUACGUAGAACACCAUCUUUAAGUGACUAUCCGAACAUUUCUCAUUCAAUGCCAUGCACUCAUAUAAAGCCUGAAAUAGUUUUAUAACAGUUUGGCACAAAUAUAUUUAAUUACGUGUUGUGUAUUAUGUAUAGGUGGUGAGCCCUUUGAUAAGGGUAAAGAUAUUGUGCCCGAAGACCAAGAAUAGGAGUACUCUAAACUCCUGUUAUUGUGAGUAAUCAGACUUUCAUCUUAACUAUCUAAAGUAGUUUAUACUCGUUUUUAUGUUUUAAAGAAAAAUGAAUUUAAAUUUGCAAACUAUUAUGUUUUAUAAUUGAAGUGUUGAUUAAACGAAAUGAGAUUUAUAACUUGUUUUGAAAUUGAAUACUAGUUUUGGAAAUUGAGUAAGUGGAGACUGUAUACUUGUGUUAUAUAUAUGUUUUGACAUAUGGUUUGAAUUGAUGGCUUAUGACAAUGUGAUGGCAUGAAUGGCUGGAUUUGUGAUUUGUGGAUUAUAUGAACUGUUUUUGUUUUGCCUUGACAGGCUAGAUAAUAUUAUAUUAGCCAUGUCAUGCUGUCGAAAUGUUUAUUGAUUUGGUGGGUUAUUUGAUUAGCUUACUGCAAUGGGCGGGUUUCCGUGGACCAGCCUAUUAGAGGGGCACGGUAAACCCCGUUAUAUUUUACCUUAGUAUGAGAGGCGCGGAAGGUAUCUCCUAAGGUAAAGUUAGAGGUCACCUCACGUUGAACCACCACGUGAAGGUGAAACUUAGCCAACGCCAAGUAACGACUGUGCUUUUAAAUAUAAAAAUGAGUUUUAUACUUAUAUGUUAUUUUAACAGCCUUGGAGGACUC
Molecule: long non-coding RNA, 1614 nt
Filed under: Theobroma cacao (cacao)
Lineage: Eukaryota; Viridiplantae; Streptophyta; Magnoliopsida; Malvales; Malvaceae
Description: long non-coding RNA (TCAC_LNC000899)
Source: RNAcentral